Molecule: ribosomal RNA, 429 nt
Filed under: uncultured bacterium
Lineage: Bacteria
Description: bacterial SSU rRNA
Rfam family: Bacterial small subunit ribosomal RNA
Source: RNAcentral
UAGGGAAUUUUGCGCAAUGGGCGAAAGCCUGACGCAGCAACGCCGCGUGGGUGAUGAAGGUCUUCGGAUCGUAAAACCCUGUCGUCGAGGACGAAGGUUGGAGGGUUAAUAGCUCUUUGGCUUGACGGUACUCGGAGAGGAAGCCCCGGCUAACUCUGUGCCAGCAGCCGCGGUAAUACAGAGGGGGCAAGCGUUAUUCGGAAUUAUUGGGCGUAAAGGGCGCGUAGGCGGUUCGUUAAGUCAGAUGUGUAAUCCCCGAGCUCAACUUGGGAACUGCAUCUGAGACUGGCAGACUAGAGUACUGGAGAGGGUGGUAGAAUUCCACGUGUAGCGGUGAAAUGCGUAGAGAUGUGGAGGAAUACCGGUGGCGAAGGCGGCCACCUGGACAGUAACUGACGCUGAGGCGCGAAAGUGUGGGUAGCAAACAGG